UUAAGUUUAAAGAUGGACAACCUGCUGAUGGAAGAGUUCAGCAGCAGAGCUCAGAGGUUCCCAGUGAUCAGUCUGCACAGCAGCAUCAAACACAGCUGGACUCCAUAUUUAUGCUGCUGGGGGAGAACAUCGUCACUUUUGUGAAGAACGAGCUGAAGAGAGUCCAG
This is a long non-coding RNA of Scomber japonicus (chub mackerel), 167 nucleotides long. RefSeq lists it as uncharacterized. The transcript has 3 exons. The record is from RefSeq and is a predicted model, not a curated record. Lineage: Eukaryota; Metazoa; Chordata; Actinopteri; Scombriformes; Scombridae.